This 497-nucleotide ribosomal RNA is filed under the name uncultured bacterium. RNAcentral describes it as "partial 16S ribosomal RNA". It matches the Rfam family "Bacterial small subunit ribosomal RNA", at positions 28 to 507 of the family's 1533-position model. The record is from RNAcentral.
GAUGAACGCUGGCGGCGUGCCUAAUACAUGCAAGUCGAGCGAACGGACGAGAAGCUUGCUUCUCUGAUGUUAGCGGCGGACGGGUGAGUAACACGUGGAUAACCUACCUAUAAGACUGGGAUAACUUCGGGAAACCGGAGCUAAUACCGGAUAAUAUUUUGAACCGCAUGGUUCAAAAGUGAAAGACGGUCUUGCUGUCCCUUAUAGAUGGAUCCGCGCUGCAUUAGCUAGUUGGUAAGGUAACGGCUUACCAAGGCAACGAUGCAUAGCCGACCUGAGAGGGUGAUCGGCAACACUGGAACUGAGACACGGUCCAGACUCCUACGGGAGGCAGCAGUAGGGAAUCUUCCGCAAUGGGCGAAAGCCUGACGGAGCAACGCCGCGUGAGUGAUGAAGGUCUUCGGAUCGUAAAACUCUGUUAUUAGGGAAGAACAUAUGUGUAAGUAACUGUGCACAUCUUGACGGUACCUAAUCAGAAAGCCACGGCUAACUACGUG